AGCGAUUUAGCUCAGUGGUAGAACAUCUGCUUUGGAUGCAGAAGGUUUUGGGUUCAAUGGCUAAGUGUCCUGUAUUCACUG
Podarcis lilfordi (Lilford's wall lizard) is the source of this 81-nucleotide non-coding RNA. The record is from the annotation of a GenBank genome assembly. NCBI's taxonomy places the organism in Eukaryota, Metazoa, Chordata, Lepidosauria, Squamata, Lacertidae.